CAGAGCUCCCUGAAAACUCUCAUUUGGCCUAUAAAGAGAGGAGGACACCCGCCUGCGUGGGACUUUGUGCUGCUGGGCCUUGUGAGCUGCUGAGGAGGGCGUAAAAGACAGAAGUUAGGGAAGAGUGCCAGGGCCAUCUGGACAUCACUCAGGGGGCAGUGAGGACCCCAGAACUGGGAUUCAACCCCCAUCACCAUUGCAAAGUUGGUGAUAAUACUCUCCAAUAAGUGGCCAUUUUCAUCCCUGGUGCAACCGCAGUGAAGGCAAUGGAUUUACCCCAGGAAUGAGUUAUUCCUAUUGACUUUUCCUCUGUGGAAGUUUCACAUGGAAAUGUGACAAUGCGGGCUAGAACUGCUGAUACAUACAUUGAGAGGAUCGUUCAGGACGCAGCUAGUAACAGAUGAAUUUCCAUCAAGUGAAAUCUAACCAGAAGGAAGUCUCUACAUCCCCGGCUCAGUUCUACUGUGUGCCUCUCACAGGCAAGGCCUCACAGGUUGCUCUGCAGCCCACAAAAGUUAUUCCCAGAUCACCCAGCAAAGCCCCUGCAGAACGGUACAAGUUUCCUCUCGCAUUCAGAUGCUCCUCACAGCUGCGACUGGCCAAGUACCAAAAAGAAUUCCACUUGUUCUGAACUUCGCUUUUAUACGCCUCCUGACUAGUCUACCCUGAAAUGCUUUUGACUGGAGACUUGUCUGUUGCUUAAGCAAGGUUUAUUAAAUAUUCUCAGGAUUGACUUGGUUCCCUCUUCAGUUGCUAAAGUUUACCUUUGACUAUCUGCUUAGUCUGCCUACUAACUACAGAAUCUGAAAUUUCUACUUUGUAAAUUACAAUUCAGAAAUGUAUACAACUGCCUGUAGUCUAAAGUGUAAUUUGUGAGGAAAUGUUUUACCCUUUUUCCCUCUUCUCCACCAAGAAAAUAAUCUAGUCAUAUGACCAAAUGAUGACUUACAUAAACUUAAUAAAAAUAUGCAUUUUAAUUUAUUACUUUGCUCAGCACUUUUAACAUGUAUUUAGGUCAUUUUAAUCUUUUUAAUGAAUUCAUAUCGAGAAGGAUGAAUUCUUCUUUGGGGAAUACUGCUUAACUGUAAAGAUUUAUCUUUUUUCUUAAAAUGUUUUGGUAAAUGACAGGCAUCAUAAUUUGUAAGAGUGCUUUAGAAUUUGUCCGUCAUGUUCUCAAGAUCAUUAUUUUAUGAUGCAAAAUCACUUCACUAGCGACUCAAAAUUAAAAUCAGCUUCCACCGAUUUUUACUUUCCUUUUUUUCUUUCUUUGCUUAAUUUGUUUUCACCUGUGAGAAGUUACUAUAAGCAAAAAUAUACAUCGGUAUGUUGCAAACUAAGUCCCAAAUGGCCUAAAGAAUUUUGUAAUGAAACUAUUUAAUAUAUGAGAAAACACACACGCACACACUCUUCUGUAUGACUUCUAACUCCUUCACUGUGCUCUGUAUUCCAUUUAGCUCUGUGUUGCUGGUA
This is a non-coding RNA of Struthio camelus australis, 1470 nucleotides long. The record is from RefSeq and is a predicted model, not a curated record. Lineage: Eukaryota; Metazoa; Chordata; Aves; Struthioniformes; Struthionidae.